Molecule: long non-coding RNA, 1007 nt
Filed under: Phasianus colchicus (ring-necked pheasant)
Lineage: Eukaryota; Metazoa; Chordata; Aves; Galliformes; Phasianidae
Description: lncRNA (ENSPCLG00000000479.1)
Source: RNAcentral
CGGGCACCGAGCGCCCCGCGGCCGCCAGCCCUGAGGCGGCGCCGCCUGAGGCAGCGCGGGACGGGGCGGCUGUGGGUGGAGCGCGGCCCCGUGGUGGCAUUGCCGCCGUGCCCCCUGGCGCAAAUCGUGACAGGAGGGCACACGCGCGGGUUGCAUGGUGGCCUUCAGUGAGAGAAAUCAGCCCUGCCAUGACUGGGAGAGGGUCUGGUCCACAGGGAAAUCCUAUGGAGAAUACCAGGUGGGCACUGGCAGUGAUGAGAGCUGUGUAUCAUAGAAUCAUAGAAUCACAACGUUGGAAACAACCUUCAAGAUCAUCUAGUCCAACCGCCCUCCCAUUACCACUGCUACCACAAGCACUAAACCAGAUCUCGUAGCUCCUCAUCCAGAUGCCUCCUGAACACUGCCAGGGACGGUGACUCCACCACCUCCCUGUGCAGCCAUUCCAGUGCCUGACCACUCUGAGAGAAAAAGUUCUUCCUUAUGUCUAACCUAAACCUCCUCUGGUACAACUUGUGGCCAUUUCCUUGGGUCCUGUUUGUUGUUUGGGAGAAGAGGCUGAACCCCUCCUCAUCACAAUCUCUCUUCAGGAAGUCGUAGAGUUCAAUGAGGUUUCCUCUGAGUCUCCUCUUCUCCAGGCUAAGCAAUCCCAGCUCCCUCGGCUGCUCCUCAUAAGACCUGUGCUCCAGACCCCUCACCCUCAGGCAUAGAGAGGGAUAAGGAGGGUGUUUUGUCCUGUGUUCCUGCACUGAGAUGACAGAGAGAACCCAAUUUUUACACCAGGAAGAGGUUCCAGUUUCAAUUUUUUUGGUGGUUUUUUUUGUUUGUUUGUUUUAUUUUGUUUUUUGAGGCUUCUGAGGCCAUGUCUUGUGCCUGCUUGGAUGGGAUGCAGCAUGUGUGCUGACAUAGAGGUACAGCAGGUGGAUAUUGCCCAAAGGCAGAUGCAACCAGUUGAUGUACCUGGUGGGUUAUUUACAGAAAUAAACACAAGCUUGAGUGUUAAGGCGACA